This 746-nucleotide ribosomal RNA is filed under the name uncultured bacterium. RNAcentral describes it as "bacterial SSU rRNA". It matches the Rfam family "Bacterial small subunit ribosomal RNA", at positions 60 to 774 of the family's 1533-position model. The record is from RNAcentral.
AGUCGAGCGAGCUGAACAGCAGAUUCACUUCGGUGAUGACGCUGGGAACGCGAGCGGCGGAUGGGUGAGUAACACGUGGGUAACCUGCCCUAAAGUCUGGGAUACCACUUGGAAACAGGUGCUAAUACCGGAUAACAACAAUAGCUGCAUGGCUAUUGCUUAAAAGGCGGCGAAAGCUGUCGCUAAAGGAUGGACCCGCGGUGCAUUAGCUAGUUGGUAAGGUAAUGGCUUACCAAGGCGACGAUGCAUAGCCGAGUUGAGAGACUGAUCGGCCACAUUGGGACUGAGACACGGCCCAAACUCCUACGGGAGGCAGCAGUAGGGAAUCUUCCACAAUGGGCGAAAGCCUGAUGGAGCAACGCCGCGUGAGUGAAGAAGGUUUUCGGAUCGUAAAGCUCUGUUGUUGGUGAAGAAGGAUAGAGGUAGUAACUGGCCCCUAUUUGACGGUAAUCAACCAGAAAGUCACGGCUAACUACGUGCCAGCAGCCGCGGUAAUACGUAGGUGGCAAGCGUUGUCCGGAUUUAUUGGGCGUAAAGCGAGCGCAGGCGGAAAGAUAAGUCUGAUGUGAAAGCCCCCGGCUUAACCGAGGAAUUGCAUCGGAAACUGUGUUUCUUGAGUGCAGAAGAGGAGAGUGGAACUCCAUGUGUAGCGGUGGAAUGCGUAGAUAUAUGGAAGAACACCAGUGGCGAAGGCGGCUCUCUGGUCUGUAACUGACGCUGAGGCUCGAAAGCAUGGGUAGCGAACA